UACGUAGGGUGCGAGCGUUGUCCGGAAUUACUGGGCGUAAGGGGUGCGUAGGCGGUUGGGUAAGUCUGACGUGAAAUCUCCGGGCCUAACCCGGAAACUGCGUUGGAUACUACCUGACUAGAGGAAUGGAGGGGAGACUGGAAUACUUGGUGUAGCAGUGAAAUGCGUAGAUAUCAAGUGGAACACCAGUGGCGAAGGCGAGUCUCUGGACAUUUCCUGACGCUGAGGCACGAAGGUCAGGGGAGCAAACGGG
Molecule: ribosomal RNA, 253 nt
Filed under: uncultured bacterium
Lineage: Bacteria
Description: partial 16S ribosomal RNA
Rfam family: Bacterial small subunit ribosomal RNA
Source: RNAcentral